Molecule: ribosomal RNA, 274 nt
Filed under: uncultured bacterium
Lineage: Bacteria
Description: partial 16S ribosomal RNA
Rfam family: Bacterial small subunit ribosomal RNA
Source: RNAcentral
AUACGGAGGGUGCAAGCGUUAAUCGGAAUUACUGGGCGUAAAGCGCGCGUAGGCGGUUUGGUAAGUCGGAUGUGAAAGCCCCGGGCUCAACCUGGGAAUUGCAUUCGAUACUGCCAGACUAGAGUAUGGUAGAGGGAAGUGGAAUUCCGGGUGUAGCGGUGAAAUGCGUAGAUAUCCGGAGGAACACCAGUGGCGAAGGCGACUUCCUGGACCAAUACUGACGCUGAGGUGCGAAAGCGUGGGGAGCAAACAGGAUUAGAAACCCCUGUAGUCC